CCUACGGGUGGCAGCAGUGAGGAAUAUUGGUCAAUGGGCGGGAGCCUGAACCAGCCAAGCCGCGUGAGGGAAGAAGGUACAGCGUAUCGUAAACCUCUUUUGCCAGGGAACAAAGGCGGGGACUAGUCCACGGAUGAGGGUACCUGAAGAAAAAGCAUCGGCUAACUCUGUGCCAGCAGCCGCGGUAAUACGGAGGAUGCGAGCGUUAUCCGGAUUUAUUGGGUGUAAGGGGUGCGCAGGCGGCGUGCAAAGUCAGAGGUAAAAGCCAUGGGCUAAACCCCGGCGAGCCGUUGAAACUGGGGGGCUGGAGUUGGGGAGAGGUACGCGGAAUGCGCGGUGUAGCGGUGAAAUGCGUAGAUAUCGCGCAGAACCCCGAUUGCGAAGGCGGCGUACCGGCUCCACACUGACGCUGAGGCACGAAAGCGUGGGUAUCGAACAGGAUUAGAUACCCCUGUAGUC
RNAcentral lists this ribosomal RNA (459 nucleotides) under uncultured bacterium. RNAcentral's name for it is "partial 16S ribosomal RNA". It matches the Rfam family "Bacterial small subunit ribosomal RNA", at positions 338 to 795 of the family's 1533-position model. The record is from RNAcentral.